Molecule: ribosomal RNA, 468 nt
Filed under: uncultured bacterium
Lineage: Bacteria
Description: partial 16S ribosomal RNA
Rfam family: Bacterial small subunit ribosomal RNA
Source: RNAcentral
GACGAACGCUGGCGGCGUGCUUAACACAUGCGAGUCGAACGGAAAGGCCCUGCUUUUGUGGGGUGCUCGAGUGGCGAACGGGUGAGUAACACGUGAGUAACCUGCCCUUGACUUUGGGAUAACUUCAGGAAACUGGGGCUAAUACCGGAUAGGAGCUCCUGCUGCAUGGUGGGGGUUGGAAAGUUUCGGCGGUUGGGGAUGGACUCGCGGCUUAUCAGCUUGUUGGUGGGGUAGUGGCUUACCAAGGCUUUGACGGGUAGCCGGCCUGAGAGGGUGACCGGCCACAUUGGGACUGAGAUACGGCCCAGACUCCUACGGGAGGCAGCAGUGGGGAAUAUAGCACAAUGGGCGGAAGCCUGAUGCAGCAACGCCGCGUGCGGGAUGACGGCCUUCGGGUUGUAAACCGCUUUCGCCUGUGACGAAGCGUGAGUGACGGUAAUGGGUAAAGAAGCACCGGCUAACUACGUG